UACGUAGGGGGCAAGCGUUGUCCGGAUUUAUUGGGCGUAAAGAGCGUGUAGGCGGCCAUGCAGGUCAGCUGUGAAAACUCGAGGCUCAACCUCGAGACGUCGGUUGAAACCGUAUGGCUAGAGUCCUGGAGAGGGUCGUGGAAUUCCCGGUGUAGCGGUGAAAUGCGUAGGGAUCGGGAGGAACACCAGAGGCGAAGGCGGCGACCUGGACAGGCACUGACACUCAACUACGAAAGCGUGGGGAGCAAACAGG
Molecule: ribosomal RNA, 253 nt
Filed under: uncultured bacterium
Lineage: Bacteria
Description: partial 16S ribosomal RNA
Rfam family: Bacterial small subunit ribosomal RNA
Source: RNAcentral